CGGGGCGUGGCGCAGCCUGGUAGCGCGCUUGUUUUGGGUACAAGAGGCCCCCGGUUCGAUUCCGGGCGCCCCGA
Molecule: transfer RNA, 74 nt
Filed under: Acetobacter indonesiensis NRIC 0313
Lineage: Bacteria; Pseudomonadati; Pseudomonadota; Alphaproteobacteria; Acetobacterales; Acetobacteraceae
Also listed under: 2 other names
Description: tRNA-Pro
Rfam family: tRNA
About the family: Transfer RNA (tRNA) molecules are approximately 80 nucleotides in length.
Source: RNAcentral